UACGUAGGGGGCGAGCGUUGUCCGGAAUUAUUGGGCGUAAAGAGCGUGUAGGCGGUUCGGUAAGUCUGCCGUGAAAACCUGGGGCUCAACCCCGGGCGUGCGGUGGAUACUGCCGGGCUAGAGGGUGGUAGAGGCGAGUGGAAUUCCCGGUGUAGCGGUGAAAUGCGCAGAUAUCAGGAAGAACACCGACGGCGAAGGCAGCACUCUGGGCCGGUACUGACGCUGAGGAGCGAAAGCAUGGGGAGCGAACAGG
This 253-nucleotide ribosomal RNA is filed under the name uncultured bacterium. Its description in RNAcentral is "partial 16S ribosomal RNA". It matches the Rfam family "Bacterial small subunit ribosomal RNA", at positions 524 to 776 of the family's 1533-position model. The record is from RNAcentral.